Sipha flava (yellow sugarcane aphid) is the source of this 4097-nucleotide RNA transcript. It is a transcript of the gene named LIM domain and actin-binding protein 1, with no coding region annotated. NCBI's taxonomy places the organism in Eukaryota, Metazoa, Arthropoda, Insecta, Hemiptera, Aphididae. The transcript is spliced from 19 exons. The record is from RefSeq and is a predicted model, not a curated record.
GCGCGGGGCCGGUUCCGACUUUUCGAGUCUGCAGUGUUAGUAGUGGUUCCAUUGCUCCCGACGUGUUCGCACGUCGUCUUAUUGCUGCUCCCGUAACAGUCCGGUGAACAUUAUUCGCGCGUUCACUGCCGUUGUUGCGGUACUUACAUUUAGUAUAUUUUCGCGUCGUCGACUUACGGUUUCGGGCGCAGUAAAUGUCCGCCAAUCGGUAGACGUCAACCUAACAGCUAUACGGUAGAAUAUAAAUCGACGAUCCGUGUUUUCCGGUGCAGCGGGUGCGUGUCGGUUUCGUUUGGAAGUCACGACUUCCGAAGCUCUGUAAUUGAUACCUACUUUAAAAGAAAAACGUCAAAACUUUCAUUCUUGCAUAUGGCGGGUGUCAACAACGUAAGUACAUAUGAUAAUGCAUCAGAAAAUUCCAAUAACACACUUACGCACGCUAACAAGACUGAUGAUUCAGACGACCAGGAUGAUUCGUUGCAGAACGUCAUCGAUAAUGAGUUAUCCAAACGUUUGAACGAAUGUCCAACUCCAGUUAAUCGUGUAAAAUACAGUGUAGAUAUAAUGUUGACUGCGGAAUCAAUUCAUAGUGCCAGUGUUGAGCAAUCCAAUGAAAUGGAAUACUCAGACCUUAAGUCUUUACAAUCAAAUGAGUAUCAAUUGCAAAAAGAUAAUAGCGAGCUUAUAUUACUGUCAGAAAAACAGCAUAUAGAAGAAACUAGUGAUACAGGUCUCGGAUCUGAAAUUAUUUCAGAAUUGGAUGCGCUUAAAUCAGAUAUUGAUAAUGAUGGUCCAUUUUCUGAUAAUAUGAGUAGUGGGUUUGAAGAUGGUGUUACAAAAGAGCUUGUGGAUCAAGAUCCUUCAUAUGCAGAAUCCGAAGAACCUCGUAUUUUUACUAGACCCCUACCGGUUGAUGAAACAGAUAAAGUAACCGAAUUAGUAUUUGAUACUUGGACCACACUUGAUGAGGUUGUGGGAUCUGAAGUACAAAAACUCGAAACCAACGGUUAUAAAGAAAAGUCGGAUUUGGACAUCAGUACCGCUAACCUUAAUACAGAAUGUUUUGAUAAUAAUACACCAGUCAUUACUAACAGUGUUACAGAGGUGGUGUCAGAGACGACGUCAGAACGUAAAACAAUUAAAAAAAAGUCAUCGGCAGUCAGUGGUGAAUCAACUACUACUGUUGUAAAGACGAAAAAAACCAAAAAAUCAAAAAAAUCAGAUGAAAAAGAAAAUAUCUCUGUAAAUUUAAAUGGCCAUUUGACAAAUGAUUCAAAAUUUGAUCAAUAUGACGAAAUUACUGUCGAGGAGGAUGAUUUAUCCAACGUAUGUGUUCGUGAUCUCAAAAAAUCUUAUUGUGACGAAGCUAACCGAAAAUCAUCCUCUGUAAUACCAGAAGAGCCUGUACCUGCUUCUAUUCCCAUUAAUGAAUUGAAGCGAAAUUUCGUUGAUGCAACUAAGAAACAACCAUCCGGAUUUGAAAACGGAAUGAUAAACGGUUGUUCGAAAUCAAGUUUUGGAAAAUUUGAUCAACUGGAAAAGAAAUCAAUUCUUCAACAGAGAUCUCCAGAAUCUGAAAAAAGCGAUGCAAAACAAAAUGGUGUUUUACGUCCAGAAGUUAAUUCUGUGUGUAAGUCAUGUGCGAAGACUGUAUAUGCAAUGGAACAAAUAAAAGCAGAACGUCAGGUUUGGCAUAAGAACUGUUUCCGGUGUAUGACAUGUAAUAAGCAAUUGACACUUGAUAUUUAUAGUAGCCAUGAAGGCAAAUUAUACUGUAAGCCUCAUUUCAAAGAGUUAUUUAAACCUAAAGUAGUUGUUGAGGAUGAGAUACCAAUUAGACGCAAGAAACCCGAAAUGAUAAUACGUGAAAAUCAACCAAUGGAAUUACCACCAGAUGUGGUUCGAGCAAGUGAUAAACCAGAUUUAGGAUUAGAAGAAUUGGGCUCAUUGAAUGUAAAAUCACGAUUUCAAGCUUUUGAAAAUGCUUCUACCAAUGGUAAUAGCAACUUAGAAAAAUCUCCAGUCAGUGUUAAACGUUCACCUAGUAUAUUGAGUAAAUUGGCAAAGUUUCAAUCUAAAGGAAUGGAUGUUGGUGUUUCCAAUGAGGAUUUGAAUGGUGCAUUCUUUGAGCCUUCAUCAAACAGCGAGAGUGAUGAAGAUAAUGAUGCAGAAAAUGAUGUAUUAAAAAAUAGUAUUUCUAAAGAGAAACCUAUGAGUUUUGAUAAGAUGGAGUCUGUUAAACGUAAUUGGGAAAUGCGCCGAGAAGAAAUGAAAGAAGAACAUAAACAAGAAAUACAAAACAUCAGAUCUAAAUUAUUUGCUGGAAAACAAGGAAAAAUGAAGCAAAUGUAUGAACAAGCUGUAGCUGAAAGUGAACGUACUGGUAUAAAACGAGAUUUAAAUAUAAACAAAUCUGAUAAAGCCAAAGUCAUCAAAGAGAAGUUUGAAAAAGGUGAAAUAGUGAAUACUGAAAAUGGUGAUUUAGAUGAAAAUAAUACUAGUGUUUCGGCCAAUGGUGAUGAAGAUGAGAUGAGUGUUUUCGAAGCAGGAAUUUCUAAAAAAUCUCGUAGUCUAUUCAUGGAAUUGGAUGCAAACGCAGCUAAGACUAAACAAGCUGUACCAAUUACGAAUACCAAGAAAGAAUAUAUUCCUACAACAAAACAGGUUACGUCAAUAUACAACCGCCAAGUGUCUGAUGAUGUGGUCAAAUGCAGUGACCGCAUCGAAGACGUUUCUGUGGAAACGGCUGAAGUUUCUUCAAAGUUUAAAUUCUUUGAGACAUACAAGCCUCCUGAGGUCAUUAAGAAACAGUUCAGAAUUACACCCCCACGAGAAGGCCAAAUUAAGGGAGAAUCUCCAGAACGUGAUAUAUAUCGUGAUCCUAAUGUGGUGCGCAACGAAGACCCAGUUGAUGAAACGGCAGAAUUAGUCAAAAGUAACACAACUGCUAAGAUGUUAUCCUUGUUUAGACAAAUGGAAGUAGCUAGACCAACUGUACCUGACGGUCCUAAACCGCUAAAAUGUUUUACUCCACCACCAGACUAUAAGGAAUCAGAAACAGAGUCUGAAUCUGAAGAUGAGGUCAGUGGUGAAGAUGACAGUGAGAAUGAAGAAUCUUCUUGCAGUGAAAGUAAUGAUGAUGUUGUGAAAUCAUCUGUGAAAGUUGAAGAUGAGUUUUUAAAAAAUUCCCAAAAUGCAGUAAUGGCAAAAUCAUUAAAAGAAAAAUUUGAACAUUGGGAACCAGACAAGCAUUCGCUGAAUAAUGCUAUUACAAUGCUUGACUCCGAACAAGAAAGCAUUGAAUCAACUAAAUCUUUACGUGCUCGUUUUGAAUCAUUAAAAGGUGAUCGUCCAGCUGAUAAACCAAAACCAAAAGUGAACCGAUUCUUGGCCAACGCUAAUAUGUCGACAGUCGGACGAAAAAAAGACAUUUAUUGGGACUUUUUUUACUAACGUCUGACAUGACGACAUAGAAAAAUAUAUUAUUCUUAAACAAUACAUUAUAUUAGUAAUAACUGAAGCUCCAUUCAACCCGUAUACUUCAAUAGUGUAAAUAAAAACUUAUUCGAAAAUUACAUAUACGUGUAUGGUCUAACAUAUUUGCUUGAUUUUUCAUUUUAUACUUUAUUCUUUUAAUAAUAAUAAUGUUAAUAACGUUUUUAAAUCAGUAUCUUUUAUGAUUCAAAGUAUUCUCUAGUAAAUAAGGUCAUGCAAUCAUCUUCAUUGAUUAAAAAAAAAUAACACUUUAUUUUUGUUCGAUAAACUGACAUUUACCAAACACAUUUUAUAUUUGUCACCUCAUUGUUGUUUUAUUUAAAAUUAGCUAUAUUUUGAUUGUUGAACUUCAAACACCUACAAUAUUAGUGUAGUAUUGUUUUGAAGUAUCAUUUUUAGUUUUCUUUAUAUAAAUUUCAGUAUCAUAUGUCAAUAUCCAUAAGUAAGUGAAAUAAAACAUAGCAAUUUUUCCAUUUUAAGUGUUUAAGCAAAUGGAUAAAGAUGAUAAAUCACUAAUACUGUUCUGGACUGGUUAAAUUUUAGUUUGUCAUUUUUUAAUUUAGAAUAAGAACAUAUUGUUAUUAUACUUGUGAGUUUUUGUU